Molecule: ribosomal RNA, 471 nt
Filed under: Triticum aestivum (bread wheat)
Lineage: Eukaryota; Viridiplantae; Streptophyta; Magnoliopsida; Poales; Poaceae
Description: partial small subunit ribosomal RNA
Source: RNAcentral
AUGGACGCCUCAGCCACCAUCACCACAGGGAAGACGAAGAAGGGCGCGGCUGGGUGCAAGGCGGGCGGCCCCAGGAGGAAGUCCGUGUCGCGGUCCGUCAAGGCCGGGCUCCAGUUCCCCGUCAGCCGCAUCGGGCGCUACCUCAAGAAGGGCCGCUACGCCCAGCGCGUCGGCACCGGCGCCCCUGUCUACCUCGCGUCCGUCCUCGAGUACCUCGCCGCCGAGCUGCUGGAGCUCGCGGGCAACGCCGCCAAGGACAACAAGAAGAGCCGCAUCAUCAUCCCCCGCCACCUGCUGCUCGCCGUCAGGAACGACGAGGAGCUCGGCAAGCUGCUCGCCGGCGUCACCAUUGCGCAUGGCGGCGUGGUCCCCAAGAUCAACCCGGUGCUGCUCCCCAAGAAGAUGGUCGAGAAGGCAACCAAGGAGCCCAAGUCGCCGAAGAAGACCGCCAAGUCCCCCAAGAAGGCGUAG